AAACCUCAAAUCAAAUUUAAAUAUUAGAUUAGCGGUUUUAAAACAAGACCAAAGAUUUCAUACAUAUACGUGCUAACUAUUAGGGCUAUUCUCUCAUAUUGGAAGUUAAGUAUGAUUUUAAUCUUCAUUCAUUGCCAAUUAUUUUGAGUUGGAAGCCCACAAUCUAAUAUGAUAUCAAAGCCCGAACAUAUCGAGAUCAGUGGUUAGAAAAACCAUCAUUUCGGAGAGACGUUUUAGGAUAAUGUCCCACAUUAGAAGUUGAGUAAAAUAUAAAGUGAUAUAUAUAUAAGAUAUGAGUCUCUCCACUUAUUAACAAUUGAUUUUGAGUUGGAAGCCCACAUUCUAAUACUAACGUACACCUAAAUACUUUCUAUAUCAAAAAAUCAAGGUUACUAAAACUUAUUAACA
This 408-nucleotide small RNA is filed under the name Arabidopsis thaliana (thale cress). Its description in RNAcentral is "ATSL080500". Lineage: Eukaryota; Viridiplantae; Streptophyta; Magnoliopsida; Brassicales; Brassicaceae. The record is from RNAcentral.